CUUACCUCGGAUGGAACCGGCUGUUUGGACAUUGCCUGUGCUAUUGACAAGUAUGGGUUGAGCUACAAGUAUGGGUUAAGCUGCAACUACUUCGACGAGAUGGCACAGAACUAUUGCGCUGCAAAGGGUGACGGCUAGGUGUUCAGUAUUAGGCGGGAUUGUAACGUUGCUCUGACAUGCAAUGACAUCUGUGCGUCAGCCAAGACCGACAUUCUGCGCACCAUCAACAAUCAACGAACUAAUGUUGCGUGUUUCGAUGCCUUUCGCAUCAUAAAAGACCACAGACGACUCCUGCCUAACCCAGCCGACUCGCAGCCGGACGCAGGAAAGGCUAGUUUCGCCACCUUUGGUUAUGGUUCCGGCGGAUGUACCUGGCGCCCUAAUCACUGUGGACCAAACUAUUGCUGCUGCAAAGCGUUUGAUUAGACCAAAAGAGCAAUAGACAAAGUUGUCGGAGACAAUAAUAUAAUCUUGAUAAAUGUUUUUUUAGUUCCAUAUCUUUAAUUUUUUAUCGUCGUUAUGUGUGGGAAGUCGAAGGCAUCCCCCUCCACAUCGUACAAAAGAACAUUAAAUGCAUGAACUAAAAUUAAGCAUAUCUAUCUUGAUUUAAAAACAAACCUGUUAUUUAAUGUAUGUAUUCAUCAACGGUUUAAAGAAAUAUAUUGUUAUUAACUCAUGCAACUCGUUUGUUGGAAGAUGGCCGCAAGUUUCCAACACCUUUUUGGAAGAUUGUUUCAAAAAGGUAACCAAACAAGAAUUUUUAAAAUGUAUGGCAGAUUUGAAAAAUAAACAUCUUAGAGUUUUAAAUUUAUUCGAAAGUCAAUUUCUAAACAAUGUUCAUACUUAAAUAUGUCCACUCAAAUAAUAAGGAGAAAAAUGACUUAAAGAACAAGAUGCAUGUCUGAAUAUUGUAAUUAAUUUUGUGUGUUAUUUUCAUGCACUAUUUUGGUAUAUAAACUGCAAGUCUAGUUAAAGUAGAUAUCGGAAAUUUUUAA
Molecule: long non-coding RNA, 995 nt
Organism: Dreissena polymorpha
Lineage: Eukaryota; Metazoa; Mollusca; Bivalvia; Myida; Dreissenidae
Exons: 3
Source: RefSeq, a predicted model, not a curated record